This is a long non-coding RNA of Homarus americanus (American lobster), 2085 nucleotides long. RefSeq lists it as uncharacterized. The record is from RefSeq and is a predicted model, not a curated record. NCBI's taxonomy places the organism in Eukaryota, Metazoa, Arthropoda, Malacostraca, Decapoda, Nephropidae. The transcript is spliced from 3 exons.
UCCGCCAGAUGUUACUAGGACGCCACAACCAUUCGCUGACACAGUUCUAUCUUUCGUAAUUUUUAAUUUUUGUUGGAUUAAUGUAUAUUACAGUAUAAUAAUCUUGUUAUGCACUUAAAGACCUUCGUUGUUGAAGCGAAGUAGUAACAUAACAGCAUUUCCCGCCGCCUGCUUGUCACCAGUUGAUGUAUACUUAGAUCUACCACUGGCCCAUGGAUGAUCCCAGGGAAGGCCAAGCAAGCAGGUUUCCUUGAUAGUUCUGGUCACCCUACACCAGACUGAGGAGCAUCCAGCCUACCAGUUGUUGGGUGAAACCAGGACGGGAUGUCUCCCCACCUCUAUUCACCACUGGAUAUAAUGGCGAUUCUAGCACAUCAAGCCAUUAUAUGAUCUGAUAGGCUGUGAUGGCAUUUGAAGACCUUCUGCAACUGGUAAAGACAUUUAUUCUAAUACUUACUGUAUUAAGGAUUAAAAAGUGGAUUCAUCUGAUCUCCAACAUAUAUUUUACUUCGACUCGGUUGGAACCAAGGAUGGUCUUAUUAAUCCCUCGAGUAUAAUGACUAAACUUCUUGUAUGUGAUGUCUUAACCCUUUCAAUAUGACACUAUAUUCUCUUCAUUACAAUGGCAAUUGUACUUAAAGAGGGUGAUCAUUGUGCUGAAGGAAUUAAUGCCUGGAGUUUUAAUCACCCUCUUCUGUUGAUGGGGGCAUCGUGUUUGCAACCAGUUUUAAAAAAUUGGAGUCACAAAGGACACCACACUAGUGCUUAACGGGGAGGUGUGGCAGUAAAAUUAAGUUAUAUUUUAAUUAUAUCAUUUUUACUGCCACACUUUCCUGUCAAGCACUAUAAUAAUGUCCUUCAUGACAAAUUUUUUUUUAAACUGGUGAUUAAAACUCUGGGUUUAAGUCAUUGUACUCGAGGGGUUAUGUCAUGAAAACUAUGGGGUUAAGAUAUCUUAAAGGGUUAAUUCACUGUUCUCAAAAGGGUUAUUUUAAUCAUACUUGAGAGGGUAAUUCAUUGUACCUGUACUCAAGGGGUCAAUGAAGUAAAAUUGAACAGCUUAACAAGUUCCCUUGAAAUAUUGGUAAACAUCCAAUCCCAGAGGUUUAUAAUACAGAUGUUCUAAGAUUACCUACAUUAUAAAUUGUGAAAAAUAAAAAGGAAAAUAUCCUCAAGCUGAGCUUACAGUGGGCAACAUAGAUGUCCUCUCGCCAACUAGUUUAUAGGAAAGAAUGAGAUCACAGGUGACAAUGCACUACGGUAGUUGCCAUUUAAAAAAAAAAUUCAGGGCAGGAUGUAUGCAUCAUUUUACAUGCUAUGUAAAAAUAUAUUUAUUUUCCCCCGUAGGAUUUGAAUCCACAUCCUAAUCGUACUACCGCCUGGGAAGAUAUUGAAAGCAUAAUGUUUUGUUCAAUGGUAGACCCUGCCGCCAUAUGGUACCACAAAAAUUGUGACCAAGUCCCAUGUUGCCAAUCUGACUUUCUGCCUCAUUUACACACAAUUGACAACACGACAUACAUAUAUGGUUUCUCUCCUCUUUUUUUUUGUACGUCUUUAUUAUUAGUAAUACUAUUAUCAUUUCAUUAGUCUUAUUUUUAUUAUGAAUUAUUAAAUUUUCGCCCCCAGGCCCCGAUGUGGGUCAGUGACCUGUGCCUGAGUGGGCUAAUCCCAGUGUGUGUAAAAAAAAAAAAAAAAAAAAAAUUUAGCUAUGGUUAACACGUUUAAUAUUUUAUUUGGCUGUCAGAGGAUUUUAUUCAGCAAAUGGAGGAUGGAUACACUAGUGGUUAGCAGACUAUUUUUCCUAACCCUUUCACUGUGGGGAAGCCUUUUUUUUAUAUUUUAUUUGGCUAAUGCCAGACAAUUUUAUUCAGCAGAGAGGGGACCCCAUACACUAUUAGUUAAGCAAGGGCAUUCUGCCGCUUAAAAACCAGCAUUCACAUACAAGCAGCUGGACCAGCUCAACUAUUGCUGGGCUACUCAUAUGAAAGGGCCCAAGGUAAAAGAAGUUACUGGGAAAUUUAAAUAAUACUCAAGAAAUUAACAUGUGAAUCAGCCUAACAUGAAUUCCCAAUGAGGUGCAGUUUU